Molecule: long non-coding RNA, 1034 nt
Organism: Bombyx mori (domestic silkworm)
Lineage: Eukaryota; Metazoa; Arthropoda; Insecta; Lepidoptera; Bombycidae
Exons: 4
Source: RefSeq, a predicted model, not a curated record
UCAUACACACAUUUGUUUAUAACAAAAAGUAAUAAAAACAUAUGUAGAUUUUUUUAAAUUGGACGUAUUGCUAUUUUUAUCCUAGUCGAAAUUAUGAAACGAAACGUUUUGACAGUCCGUUUGCCAAUAAGCAGUGAUCAGUUUCUUUUGUUUGUUUUUCUAUUGUUUACAUAAUAUAUUAGAUGAUGACUUACCUCCAAAACGCUUUAAAACUUUCGUUUAUAAUUCUAAGUGUGUUUAUAAUUAAAGAGCUACAGUGAAACAAAAUGAAUUCUUCAAGAAAGGCAGCACCCAUGACAAAAGAUGAGACGAUGAUUCUAGCAGAACUUGUGGCGGCGAAAAAACAUUUCAAUAAUAAGGCAACAAAUGCCACAACAAUAAAUUGAAGGAGCAGGCUUGGCAAACCCUUGUAAAUGAUUUUAAUUCGUCGAUUCGUCGUUUCCCACGAACUCCAUCGCAGCUUCGACUAAAAUGGGAAAACUUAAAGAACGCUACGGCAACAUAAGAAACAACCUUAGUAAGGCUGGAGGUGGUAAGGAUUGCAGAUGAAAUUUUGGAUAAAGCAUGCACAUUGUUGUAGGUCACAUGAGUCGUCUAUUAUCAAAGGUGGCAAUCUGUGCAUUUGGACAAAAAAUGUUAUUGUUAUGUCAAUACAGAUUGAUUUGAAUAUAAUCGUCUCCUUCAAAGAAUACGGUUCAAAACCUGCAUUAAAUAAAGCCAAGCGGAAACAAGAUGGAAGAAAAGAAAUGCAAGGCUAGCAUAGGGACAAUGCAUUAGCAGAAUAUCUAAUAGCAAAAAAGAGACUUGGAAAAUAAAGAAAAGGAGAUUGUUGUAGCAAAAGUUAAGUUAGAUUUAGAUAAUUUAAAAAAUUAAAAAUUACUUAAAAGGAAUAUUAAAUUUCAUAAAUUAAGUAGGCAAUAAUAAUUUUAUGUUAGAUAGUUUUUUAAGUAUAUGUACAAAUUCUAAAUUAAAUAUCUUGCAUGUACUAACUACCAUGUAAUUAUCAUUUUGGAAAAUAAAAAAUAGUCAAAUUA